Molecule: ribosomal RNA, 301 nt
Filed under: uncultured bacterium
Lineage: Bacteria
Description: partial 16S ribosomal RNA
Rfam family: Bacterial small subunit ribosomal RNA
Source: RNAcentral
CAGCCGCCACGGUAAUACAGAGGGUGCGAGCGUUAAUCGGAUUUACUGGGCGUAAAGCGUGCGUAGGCGGCUUUUUAAGUCGGAUGUGAAAUCCCUGAGCUUAACUUAGGAAUUGCAUUCGAUACUGGGAAGCUAGAGUAUGGGAGAGGAUGGUAGAAUUCCAGGUGUAGCGGUGAAAUGCGUAGAGAUCUGGAGGAAUACCGAUGGCGAAGGCAGCCAUCUGGCCUAAUACUGACGCUGAGGUACGAAAGCAUGGGGAGCAAACAGGAUUAGAUACCCCAGUAGUCCCUGUCUCUUAUAA